UACGGGGGGGGCAAGCGUUGUUCGGAAUUACUGGGCGUAAAGGGCUCGUAGGUGGCCAACUAAGUCAGACGUGAAAUCCCUCGGCUUAACCGGGGAACUGCGUCUGAUACUGGAUGGCUUGAGUUCGGGAGAGGGAUGCGGAAUUCCAGGUGUAGCGGUGAAAUGCGUAGAUAUCUGGAGGAACACCGGUGGCGAAGGCGGCAUCCUGGACCGACACUGACGCUGAGGAGCGAAAGCGUGGGGAGCAAACGGG
This 253-nucleotide ribosomal RNA is filed under the name uncultured bacterium. RNAcentral's name for it is "partial 16S ribosomal RNA". It matches the Rfam family "Bacterial small subunit ribosomal RNA", at positions 524 to 776 of the family's 1533-position model. The record is from RNAcentral.